Molecule: long non-coding RNA, 807 nt
Filed under: Bos indicus x Bos taurus (hybrid cattle)
Lineage: Eukaryota; Metazoa; Chordata; Mammalia; Artiodactyla; Bovidae
Description: lncRNA (ENSBIXG00005011374.1)
Source: RNAcentral
GAUACGUGUGUUUCCUCUCCUUCCUGGGAGAGGCAUUUCUUCAUCCCACUAAGCUGUUGGCUUAAAUAUUCAUCAAGCCCUUUCCCACCAUCAGUAAAUAAGCUCCACAAACUCCUGCCACUGCUAAUGGAUCUCUCUGCCCCACUCUCUCCUCAUCCCUCCCGCUCUUCCGUUUACCUUGUCUUCCCAGAGAAUAACUGUGAUGGUAAAGGCUGUGAGUGACUCAGUUUCCAGUGCAUGCUUUCCGCCUCCCCUUUUGAAGAUGAACUUGAAGACACUAAGUCAGCUACAGGACCUUUCUGGCCCCUGAAAUAUCACCAUCAGAAAAGUCCAGGAUGGGACUCCGCCAGCGCACAGACAGAAGCAGCUGAAUCAGUGGGUGGUGGCGCCCAGGGAAAGGGUACCUAAUAUUUAACAGAAAUACACAGCACCCAAGGCAUCAUCAUGACUCGAUCCCAGAUCUCUUUUCACUUGAUCCUGGGGUUCAUCUUAGCAACUCAAUCAGGCACUACCAAAUGAUUAGAAAUGGCUCUGGAGAUGAAAUUCAUUUGCCAACUUGGGUUCCAGGAAACAGAAAGACAUGUGAGUAGUUUCUCUAGUUAUCUAUGUUCUAGUAAUGUAAUGGUGACUUUUUCUGGGGACACAAAGUGAGAAUUUGCCAAUUUUCCUACUUAGUGCCAUUUCAACACCCUGCCUAUUCCUGGGAUAUUUUCAAUCUUUUGAACAGCACCUUCCCAAGAAGGGAGCUCACAGUUCAUUUCCCCAUCUUUCUUUGCAAAUAAACUCCACCAACAAUGUUUGCCUGCA